UACAGAGGUCUCAAGCGUUGUUCGGAUUCAUUGGGCGUAAAGGGUGUGUAGGUGGCGCCGUAAGUCGGGUGUGAGAUUUCGGAGCUUAACUCCGAAACUGCAUUCGAUACUGCGGUGCUUGAGGACUGGAGAGGAGACUGGAAUUCAUGGUGUAGCAGUGAAAUGCGUAGAGAUCAUGAGGAAGACCAGUGGCGAAGGCGGGUCUCUGGACAGUUCCUGACACUGAGACACGAAGGCCAGGGGAGCAAACGGG
This 253-nucleotide ribosomal RNA is filed under the name uncultured bacterium. RNAcentral describes it as "partial 16S ribosomal RNA". It matches the Rfam family "Bacterial small subunit ribosomal RNA", at positions 524 to 776 of the family's 1533-position model. The record is from RNAcentral.